This 543-nucleotide ribosomal RNA is filed under the name Epicoccum nigrum. RNAcentral's name for it is "eukaryotic LSU rRNA". The stretch from base 174 to 327 matches the Rfam family "5.8S ribosomal RNA". The record is from RNAcentral. Lineage: Eukaryota; Fungi; Ascomycota; Dothideomycetes; Pleosporales; Didymellaceae.
UCCGUAGGUGAACCUGCGGAAGGAUCAUUACCUAGAGUUUGCAGACUUCGGUCUGCUACCUCUUACCCAUGUCUUUUGAGUACCUUCGUUUCCUCGGCGGGUCCGCCCGCCGGUUGGACAACAUUCAAACCCUUUGCAGUUGCAAUCAGCGUCUGAAAAAACAUAAUAGUUACAACUUUCAACAACGGAUCUCUUGGUUCUGGCAUCGAUGAAGAACGCAGCGAAAUGCGAUAAGUAGUGUGAAUUGCAGAAUUCAGUGAAUCAUCGAAUCUUUGAACGCACAUUGCGCCCCUUGGUAUUCCAUGGGGCAUGCCUGUUCGAGCGUCAUUUGUACCUUCAAGCUCUGCUUGGUGUUGGGUGUUUUGUCUCGCCUCUGCGUGUAGACUCGCCUUAAAACAAUUGGCAGCCGGCGUAUUGAUUUCGGAGCGCAGUACAUCUCGCGCUUUGCACUCAUAACGACGACGUCCAAAAGUACAUUUUUACACUCUUGACCUCGGAUCAGGUAGGGAUACCCGCUGAACUUAAGCAUAUCAAUAAGCGGAG